This 333-nucleotide ribosomal RNA is filed under the name uncultured marine eukaryote. RNAcentral's name for it is "SSU rRNA". It matches the Rfam family "Eukaryotic small subunit ribosomal RNA", at positions 613 to 950 of the family's 1831-position model. The record is from RNAcentral.
UUGCGGUUAAAAAGCUCGUAGUUGGAUUUCUGCCGAGGACGACCGGUCCGCCCUCUGGGUGAGUAUCUGGCUCGACCUGGGCAUCCUUCCAGAGAAUGUGUCUGCUCUUGACUGAGUGGUGCAGUAUCUGGAACUUUUACUUUGAGGAAAUUAGAGUGUUUCAAGCAGGCAUACGCCUUGAAUACAUUAGCAUGGAAUAAUAAGAUAGGACCUCGGUUCUAUUUUGUUGGUUUCUAGAGCUGAGGUAAUGAUUAAUAGGGAUAGUUGGGGGCAUUCGUAUUUAACUGUCAGAGGUGAAAUUCUUGGAUUUGUUAAAGACGGACUACUGCGAAA